UACGUAGGUGGCAAGCGUUGUCCGGAUUUAUUGGGUUCAAAGGGUGCGUAGGCGGCUUUAUAAGUCAGUGGUGAAAUAUGGCAGCUUAACUGUCAAGGUGCCAUUGAUACUGCAGAGCUUGAGUACAGAUGAGGUAGGCGGAAUUGACGGUGUAGCGGUGAAAUGCUUAGAUAUCGUCAAGAACACCUAUAGCGAAGGCAGCUUACUAAGCUGUAACUGACGCUGAGGCACGAAAGUGUGGGGAUCAAACAGG
This 253-nucleotide ribosomal RNA is filed under the name uncultured bacterium. RNAcentral describes it as "partial 16S ribosomal RNA". It matches the Rfam family "Bacterial small subunit ribosomal RNA", at positions 524 to 776 of the family's 1533-position model. The record is from RNAcentral.